Long non-coding RNA from Bactrocera neohumeralis, 2194 nucleotides. RefSeq lists it as uncharacterized. NCBI's taxonomy places the organism in Eukaryota, Metazoa, Arthropoda, Insecta, Diptera, Tephritidae. The record is from RefSeq and is a predicted model, not a curated record. The transcript has 2 exons.
CCCCCCCCCGAUUUCAUUCAAAUUUGGUAUACAUAUUACACAAUGCCUACUUAAGGGAUAUCUGGAAAAAAAUCGAAAUCGGAUAAUAACCACGCCCACCUCCCAUAUAACGGUAAUUUUUGAAAACACUAAAGAUCGAAAAUUUUAAUAACUGUUGAAGGGAAACAUCUUGAGUUUGGUAUUCGGUGUUGUAUUGCAGCCAGAAAUCCAACUAUAUGAAAAUUUUGGCAUGUCACCGCCCACUUUUGUAUGCAUAUGUAAAUCUCUGGAACUACUUUAUCGAUUUCGUCUAAAUUUGGUACACAUUUUAGAUUGUACCUAGUUAGGUGAGAUUAUGAAAAUGAUAAAAAUUGGGCAAAAACUACGGCCACCUCCCGUAUAACGGUAUUUUUCUGUACGGUCACUGCUUUAUGUUUUCGACUCUAGUAGUUGUUACUGUUUUCCUUUUCAUUUAUUAAAAAAGAAAUCAAAUCAUUCCAAUUUCUGUUACACUGUCGAUUGUAGUUUGAUUUGCACUUGUUUUUUUUUUUUUAAUUUUAUUUGUUUGCUAUGAUUUUAUCAACUUCAACAAUUGUUUGCGAAACCAUCGUUUUAAAUUAUUUUGAUACAAUACAGUUAAAAGUUUUUACUCAAGGAAGAAGUGUGUGCUUCUGAUUUUCGUGAUUCUAACAUUUUAAAGCAAAACUUAAGCUUCUUUUAAUUAUGGAGUCAUCUCCUAUAUCAAUUAGUUCUUGUGCUAAUGAUAUUACAUUAUCAAAUCUCUCGGAAUCAAAUUUGGUGCAUAUGCCAGAUCCAAAUUUUAGUGCUUUUGGUUUGCCAAUUGAUUUACACGAACUAAACUUGCCAACUUGCCGCGAUGCUUUAAAAUAUUUUUUUUUUUGAGUUAUCGCUCUAAAAAUAGAAAUAAAAUGGAGCAAAUUGAAUAUUGGCAUAAUAGCGAAGAAAACCAUAACAAACAAGCUGAAAACCUUGCUGAAUAAAUAUUUUGAAGAAACAAAAGGCACGUCUACAUCAAAAAAAUACACCGCAUUUAUCAAGACUAUGAACAACUUAUUCUAUAUUGAAAAACGCAAGUGCAAUUUACAAAGAAAUUGUUGCUCAUGUGGUUUUAUGCCUGAUCAUUUACACGAAUUUUUGACUGAUCAGCAUACCGCGAGGAAACUGACAAUUCCAGCGAUCCUGGCGGAUGUUGUUGAUUUGGAUUUGGCUCCAACAGCUACUGAAUAUUCAUCUUAUUAUUAAGCGCGGCCCGUAUACGAAAAGGCUUGAUACCCCCAAUUAUGCUAUGAUGUGCGACAGAUUUGGUGUGUCAGACAGAGUUGCUGCGUGUUUGGCUACGGCACUUUUUAAAGAUAUAGAUUUCAAAGACGACAAUGGGAACUUAUUAUUGUGAACAAAUGUAAAGAAGCGCGAGAAAAGAAAAAAAUCAGGGAUUCUGUGCGUCAAAAACAAUGCAGGGAUUCCAGCGUGCUGGCCUUCUCAUUCGAUGGCAGAAAAGAUGAAUCAUUGACAAAGGAGAAGGUUGAUCAUAAGCUUCACCCAAAAGUGGUUAAAGAAUCUAACAUCGUGGUUGUGCGAGAACCUAAAACCGAACUCUUGGGUCAUUUAACACUCAAUGCUGAGGACGCUGGUACAAAACAAAAGCUGCUAUAUGACUUCUUUGUUAAAAAGGACUUAGCUCUUUUCGAACUGCUUGGUAUUUGCCGCGACGGUGAAGUCAGCAAUACUGGCACGGAAAACGGCAUAUUACGACGGUUUGAAGUACUGUUAGACAGAUCAUUGCACCUUUUCGCCACUUAUUUUGCGCGCUAGAAAAAUCAACAACAAGUGGACCGCGAACUGACAGUGGAGCUCUGACAAAAUUAAUGGAAACCUGUGAACAGAUUCAGGUUGUACCCGACUUUCAGCGUAUUUUUCUGGGGAAUAUGCCUCCUUCCUUGUCGUCAGAACAGGAAAAAACUCUUUCAACGGACGUUAAGUACUUUUAUCGGAUAACCAACGCGAUUCAUAACAUCUAGAAUGGACAGCAAACACGACCUUAAAACUAAUAAAUUCUGAACUUUAGAAGUAUAUUAUAUGUAUUUUGUUUGGCCCUUAACAGUUAAGCUUUUGCUUUAUAUAUAGAUAUAAAAUGAUAUUGUUAACUGCAAUACGAUUUCGCGGAAUAUUAAAACUAUUAAAGUUUGAAAUUUUA